This 361-nucleotide transfer-messenger RNA is filed under the name Reticulomyxa filosa. It matches the Rfam family "transfer-messenger RNA". From Rfam's summary of the family: Bacterial tmRNA, also known as 10Sa RNA or SsrA, is named for its dual tRNA and mRNA-like properties. The record is from Rfam by way of RNAcentral. Lineage: Eukaryota; Foraminifera; Reticulomyxidae.
GGGGCCGACCAGGUUUCGACGUGGGUGCGGAUCCGGAGUAGGGCAUGCCGAGCACCAGUCCGCUCGUAAAACCACUGGAAACAAAGUAACUGCAAACGACGAAAAGUUUGCCCUCGCUGCUUAAUUAGCACGAGGCUCCGCAACAGUUGGCCUAUGGGCUGGGGUGGCAACACCUGCGGAGUCAUUCACAUAGGCUGGUUGUCAGGCGGGCCGCACGCCGGAUGACGAGACUCAGCGGCUGGCUUGGUUGACAGCGUGCUCCUGCGCGGUCGCCAAGCAAGAAUCAAAUCAGAGGGCUAAGCAUGUAGAACUGCCCGGUGAUGGCUUGCGGACGGGGGUUCAAUUCCCCCCGGCUCCACCA